UACGAAGGGGGCUAGCGUUGCUCGGAAUUACUGGGCGUAAAGCGCACGUAGGCGGAUUUGUAAGUCAGGGGUGAAAUCCCGGGGCUCAACCCCGGAACUGCCUUUGAUACUGCGAAUCUCGAGUCCGGAAGAGGUGAGUGGAAUUCCUAGUGUAGAGGUGAAAUUCGUAGAUAUUAGGAAGAACACCAGUGGCGAAGGCGGCUCACUGGUCCGGUACUGACGCUGAGGUGCGAAAGCGUGGGGAGCAAACAGG
RNAcentral lists this ribosomal RNA (253 nucleotides) under uncultured bacterium. RNAcentral's name for it is "partial 16S ribosomal RNA". It matches the Rfam family "Bacterial small subunit ribosomal RNA", at positions 524 to 776 of the family's 1533-position model. The record is from RNAcentral.